This 663-nucleotide ribosomal RNA is filed under the name uncultured bacterium. RNAcentral describes it as "partial 16S ribosomal RNA". It matches the Rfam family "Bacterial small subunit ribosomal RNA", at positions 505 to 1170 of the family's 1533-position model. The record is from RNAcentral.
GUGCCAGCAGCCGCGGUAAUACGUAGGUGGCAAGCGUUGUCCGGAUUUAUUGGGCGUAAAGCGAGCGCAGGCGGUUUCCUAAGUCUGAUGUGAAAGCCCCCGGCUCAACCGGGGAGGGUCAUUGGAAACUGGGAGACUUGAGUGCAGAAGAGGAGAGUGGAAUUCCAUGUGUAGCGGUGAAAUGCGUAGAUAUACGGAGGAACACCAGUGGCGAAGGCGGCUCUCUGGUCUGUAACUGACGCUGAGGCUCGAAAGCGUGGGGAGCGAACAGGAUUAGAUACCCUGGUAGUCCACGCCGUAAACGAUGAGUGCUAAGUGUUGGAGGGUUUCCGCCCUUCAGUGCUGCAGCAAACGCAUUAAGCACUCCGCCUGGGGAGUACGACCGCAAGGUUGAAACUCNAAGGAAUUGACGGGGGCCCGCACAAGCGGUGGAGCAUGUGGUUUAAUUCNAAGCAACNCGAAGAACCUUACCAGGUCUUGACAUCCUUUGACCACUCUANAGAUAGAGCUUCNCCUUCNNGGGCAAAGUGACAGGNGGUGCANNNUUGUCCNCANCUCGUGUCGUGAGAUGUUGGGUUAAGUCCCNCAANGAGCGCAACCCUUAUUGUUACNCGCCNUNNNUGANUUGGGGACUCUUNCGAGACUGACAGGNGACCANNNNGA